AGCAGCCGCGGUAAUUCCAGCUCCAAUAGCGUAUAUUAAAGUUGUUGCAGUUAAAAAGCUCGUAGUUGAAUUUCGGGGUUAGUAGGUUGGUCAUGCCUCUGGUAUGUACUGGUCUCACUGAUUCCUCCUUCCUGAUGAUCCGUAAUGCCAUUUAUUUGGUGUUGCGGGGAAUUUGGACUGUUACUUUGAAAAAAUUAGAGUGUUUAAAGCAAGCUAACGCUUGAAUACAUUAGCAUGGAAUAAUGAAAUAGGACGUUCGAUCCUAUUUUGUUGGUUUCUAGGAUUGACGUAAUGAUUAAUAGGGAUAGUUGGGGGCAUUAGUAUUCAAUUGUCAGAGGUGAAAUUCUUGGAUUUAUUGAAGACUAACUACUGCGAAAGCAUUUGCCAAGGAUGUUUUCAUUAAUCAAGAACGAAAGUUAGGGGAUCGAAGACGAUCAGAUACCGUCGUAGUCUUAACCAUAAACUAUGCCGACUAGGGAUCGGAUGAUGUUAAUUUUUUAAUGACUCAUUCGGCGCCUUACG
RNAcentral lists this ribosomal RNA (522 nucleotides) under uncultured Glomeraceae. RNAcentral's name for it is "SSU rRNA". It matches the Rfam family "Eukaryotic small subunit ribosomal RNA", at positions 569 to 1092 of the family's 1831-position model. Lineage: Eukaryota; Fungi; Glomeromycota; Glomeromycetes; Glomerales; Glomeraceae. The record is from RNAcentral.